UUCAAUGUUUAUAGAUCUCUCUCGCCUGCUACAGUAUGUUACUGUCUUAUUUUCAGUUAUCUUUCAGUUCCCAGCCAGUGCUUACUUAGUUCUUUUUCAAAUUAAGAGGAAAGGUAGUCUUAUUGCUCAGUAUUUUGGUUCUUCUCCUUGAUUCAGUUGUGUUGUGCUUGCUUAGCUCCCUAGAGCAUACAAUCCCAGAAUUCUCCCUCUCUAAGAGGAUCAAGCUGCCAGAACGAUUGAGUACUUGAGUGUAUGAGUACAUAAUAACACAUGUGGUAAUAAUAACACAUGGCCAGGAAGUGUAUGAGUACAUAAUAACCACAUUGGUGAUGGACUUCUGUUCCUUCUCAAGAAUGAGCCAAUGAACAAGGAGGUUGAGCUUAAAGAAUGUUUCCUUCAUUGUAAUGUAUGAACGGAAUUUGAAGACAGUUUCCUGGGUGACCAUGAUGCCGACGAACAUGCAUGACAAAUGCCCGAUUCUGUUAAAGAACCAUGAUGUAAAAGUAGGUGUCACAAGGAUUGCACUUUGUUGAUGUGGAACAGCGAUACAAAUACAAACAGACGACGUGGCCUGAUCAUCUGAUCUGCAUUGUAGGUGCAGGGUGUGUUCAGAAAAUUCGCUCCAAGUCUUCUCCGAUGUUAACUGCAGAUAUUUAGUACCUUCAAAACAACAGUCAACGAAGUACAAACAUGCUUUUGUGCAUUAGAUCCUCUGAUGUUGACUGCAGAUAUUU
Long non-coding RNA from Lolium rigidum, 734 nucleotides. RefSeq lists it as uncharacterized. NCBI's taxonomy places the organism in Eukaryota, Viridiplantae, Streptophyta, Magnoliopsida, Poales, Poaceae. The record is from RefSeq and is a predicted model, not a curated record. The transcript is spliced from 4 exons.